GACGAACGCUGGCGGCGUGCUUAACACAUGCAAGUCGAACGGAAAGGCCCUGCUUUUGUGGGGUGCUCGAGUGGCGAACGGGUGAGUAACACGUGAUUAACCUGCCCUUGACUUUGGGAUAACUUCAGGAAACUGGGGCUAAUACCGGAUAGGAGCUCCUGCUGCAUGGUGUGGGUUGGAAAGUUUCGGCGGUUUGGGAUGGACUCGCGGCUUAUCAGCUUGUUGGUGGGGUAGUGGCUUACCAAGGCUUUGACGGGUAGCCGGCCUGAGAGGGUGACCGGCCACAUUGGGACUGAGAUACGGCCCAGACUCCUACGGGAGGCAGCAGUGGGGAAUAUUGCACAAUGGGCGGAAGCCUGAUGCAGCAACGCCGCGUGCGGGAUGACGGCCUUCGGGUUGUAAACCGCUUUCGCCUGUGACGAAGCGUGAGUGACGGUAAUGGGUAAAGAAGCACCGGCUAACUACGUG
RNAcentral lists this ribosomal RNA (468 nucleotides) under uncultured bacterium. RNAcentral describes it as "partial 16S ribosomal RNA". It matches the Rfam family "Bacterial small subunit ribosomal RNA", at positions 28 to 507 of the family's 1533-position model. The record is from RNAcentral.